This 997-nucleotide ribosomal RNA is filed under the name Curtobacterium sp. RNAcentral describes it as "bacterial SSU rRNA". It matches the Rfam family "Bacterial small subunit ribosomal RNA", at positions 508 to 1504 of the family's 1533-position model. The record is from RNAcentral. Lineage: Bacteria; Bacillati; Actinomycetota; Actinomycetes; Micrococcales; Microbacteriaceae.
CCAGCAGCCGCGGUAAUACGUAGGGUGCAGCGUGUCCGGAAUUAUUGGGCGUAAAGAGCUCGUAGGCGGUUUGUCGCGUCUGCUGUGAAAUCCCGAGGCUCAACCUCGGGCUUGCAGUGGGUACGGGCAGACUAGAGUGCGGUAGGGGAGAUUGGAAUUCCUGGUGUAGCGGUGGAAUGCGCAGAUAUCAGGAGGAACACCGAUGGCGAAGGCAGAUCUCUGGGCCGUAACUGACGCUGAGGAGCGAAAGCAUGGGGAGCGAACAGGAUUAGAUACCCUGGUAGUCCAUGCCGUAAACGUUGGGCGCUAGAUGUAGGGACCUUUCCACGGUUUCUGUGUCGUAGCUAACGCAUUAAGCGCCCCGCCUGGGGAGUACGGCCGCAAGGCUAAAACUCAAAGGAAUUGACGGGGGCCCGCACAAGCGGCGGAGCAUGCGGAUUAAUUCGAUGCAACGCGAAGAACCUUACCAAGGCUUGACAUACACCGGAAACGGCCAGAGAUGGUCGCCCCCUUGUGGUCGGUGUACAGGUGGUGCAUGGUUGUCGUCAGCUCGUGUCGUGAGAUGUUGGGUUAAGUCCCGCAACGAGCGCAACCCUCGUUCUAUGUUGCCAGCGGGUUAUGCCGGGGACUCAUAGGAGACUGCCGGGGUCAACUCGGAGGAAGGUGGGGAUGACGUCAAAUCAUCAUGCCCCUUAUGUCUUGGGCUUCACGCAUGCUACAAUGGCCGGUACAAAGGGCUGCGAUACCGUAAGGUGGAGCGAAUCCCAAAAAGCCGGUCUCAGUUCGGAUUGAGGUCUGCAACUCGACCUCAUGAAGUCGGAGUCGCUAGUAAUCGCAGAUCAGCAACGCUGCGGUGAAUACGUUCCCGGGCCUUGUACACACCGCCCGUCAAGUCAUGAAAGUCGGUAACACCCGAAGCCGGUGGCCUAACCCUUGUGGAAGGAGCCGUCGAAGGUGGGAUCGGUGAUUAGGACUAAGUCGUAACAAGGUAACCCCC